UACAGAGGGUGCAAGCGUUAAUCGGAAUUACUGGGCGUAAAGCGUGCGCAGGCGGUGAUGUAAGUCAGUUGUGAAAUCCCCGGGCUCAACCUGGGAACUGCAUCUGUGACUGCAUCGCUGGAGUGCGGCAGAGGGGGAUGGAAUUCCGCGUGUAGCAGUGAAAUGCGUAGAUAUGCGGAGGAACACCGAUGGCGAAGGCAAUCCCCUGGGCCUGCACUGACGCUCAUGCACGAAAGCGUGGGGAGCAAACAGG
RNAcentral lists this ribosomal RNA (253 nucleotides) under uncultured bacterium. Its description in RNAcentral is "partial 16S ribosomal RNA". It matches the Rfam family "Bacterial small subunit ribosomal RNA", at positions 524 to 776 of the family's 1533-position model. The record is from RNAcentral.